UCCAGGUGAUGGCCAAGGAUGUAUUUGCAAUAUCAGUAAAUGACAUAUGACUGGGAGGACUUGGAGCUGCAUGUGAAAGAAAAUGAAUAAUCACAUCUGUGCCAUCACAUAUACGAAUCAGAUAAGAAAACUGAGGCUUAACAAUGCUCAGUGGCCUGCAGAGAUUCACAGAGAUUGCACCAAUAUCCCUCAUUGACUUAUACGUGCUGGUUAGUUUUUAUAUUGGAAUAUAUCUCACCACACACAGGA
Long non-coding RNA from Talpa occidentalis (Iberian mole), 249 nucleotides. RefSeq lists it as uncharacterized. The record is from RefSeq and is a predicted model, not a curated record. Lineage: Eukaryota; Metazoa; Chordata; Mammalia; Eulipotyphla; Talpidae. The transcript is spliced from 3 exons.